GUCGGCUACGGAGACAUGGCUCCCAAAACCUACGUCGGCAUGUUCGUCGGGGCUCUCUGCGCCCUGGCCGGCGUGUUGACCAUUGCCUUGCCCGUACCUGUCAUCGUCUCCAAC
Daphnia pulex (common water flea) is the source of this 114-nucleotide non-coding RNA. NCBI's taxonomy places the organism in Eukaryota, Metazoa, Arthropoda, Branchiopoda, Diplostraca, Daphniidae. The record is from Rfam.